AGCAGCCGCGGUAAUUCCAGCUCCAAUAGCGUAUAUUAAAGUUGUUGCAGUUAAAAAGCUCGUAGUUGAAUUUCGGGAUUCGUCGGUUGGUCGGGCUUCACUGUCCGCACUGACCUGACGGGUUCCUACCUUCUGAAUAACCAGCAUGCUAUUAAGUUAGUGCGUUGGGGAAGCAGAGCUAUUACCUUGAAAAAAUUAGAGUGCUUAAAGCAGGCUUGUGCUUGAAUAGAUUAGCAUGGAAUAAUAAAAUAGGACGGCAUGGUUCUAUUUUGUUGGUUUCUAGGAUCGACGUAAUGAUUAAUAGGGAUAGUUGGGGGCAUUAGUAUUCAAUUGUCAGAGGUGAAAUUCUUGGAUUUAUUGAAGACUAACUUCUGCGAAAGCAUUUGCCAAGGAUGUUUUCAUUAAUCAAGAACGAAAGUUAGGGGAUCGAAGACGAUCAGAUACCGUCGUAGUCUUAACCAUAAACUAUGCCGACUAGGGAUCGGACGAUGUUAAUUUUUUAAUGACUCG
RNAcentral lists this ribosomal RNA (510 nucleotides) under Acaulospora sp. Acau11. RNAcentral describes it as "SSU rRNA". It matches the Rfam family "Eukaryotic small subunit ribosomal RNA", at positions 569 to 1078 of the family's 1831-position model. Lineage: Eukaryota; Fungi; Glomeromycota; Glomeromycetes; Diversisporales; Acaulosporaceae. The record is from RNAcentral.